GGAAUCUUGUGCAAUGGCCGCAAGGCUGACGCAGCGACGCCGCGUGCGGGAUGACGCUUUUCGGAGUGUAAACCGCUGUCAGGUGGGACGAAGGUCCCGGGGAGGAAAUGCCCUGGGGAUGACGGUACCACCAGAGGAAGCCCCGGCUAACUUCGUGCCCGCCCCCGCGGUAAUACGAAGGGUGCGAGCGUUGUUCGGAAUUAUUGGGCGUAAAGCGCACGUAGGCGGCCUUGUAAGUCUCACUGUGAAAGCCCGGGGCUCAACCCCGGGAGGCCAGGGGAUACUGCGAGGCUGAAGACAAGCAGAGGUUGGUAGAAUUCCGGGUGUAGCGGUGGAAUGCGUAGAGAUCCGGAGGAAUACCAGAGGCGAAGGCGGCCAACUGGGCUUGUUCUGACGCUGAGGUGCGAAAGCGUGGGGAGCGAA
RNAcentral lists this ribosomal RNA (423 nucleotides) under uncultured bacterium. RNAcentral describes it as "bacterial SSU rRNA". It matches the Rfam family "Bacterial small subunit ribosomal RNA", at positions 358 to 772 of the family's 1533-position model. The record is from RNAcentral.